AUGAGGCCCCUACACCUCGUCCUGAGGAAUGUGCCGGGGAAGGGGGGGCUCCGGAGGAGGGAAGGAGGACAGAGAAGGGGAGACUGUUUGGAAGUUUGUGUCUCCAUCUUGUCGCGCUCACUUCCUGUUUUCUUGGAGAUCAAAGAUGGGCGCGGAGGGCCUGGCCGCACGUCCAGCCGACGCCAGCUCAGAGGAGGGGGGAGGGAGGCUUCUUCUGAAUCCCGGGCCAUUGGGCUGUCUUUGGCCUAACCCGGCCUCCUUCCACCGCCUCGUUGGCUCAGGACCCCCAGGGGUCAGAGAAGGACGGCAGACGGCCACCCCAGCCAUAGCCACACCACCCGCCGGCAACACCUUGGGAAGGAUAAAUCCGGGACAAGGACACUUGGCUUGUACCUACGGACCACACAUCUUUACAGAGUUGGUCAAGUAACUCCACGGGGUUGACUUCUGAAGAAGACAGCAGAGGCCAAGACCACCUGGAGAAGCCCCCAGGCUGAGGAGCCUCCGCAGGACACCUAGUCUGGGCCCGUGCCCGCAUCUUGUACUCUUUUUGAGGAGUAGAGAAUUGGGUAGAAGCAGAGAGAGCGCCGCGUCCGAAGGGUUACGGGAGCCAUUCACAGAUCCCGGGGUAGGUGAGGGUAGAGGAAUUUAAAACUAAUCCUAAAACAACAACAACACAGA
This is a long non-coding RNA of Balaenoptera ricei (Rice's whale), 681 nucleotides long. RefSeq lists it as uncharacterized. Lineage: Eukaryota; Metazoa; Chordata; Mammalia; Artiodactyla; Balaenopteridae. The record is from RefSeq and is a predicted model, not a curated record. The transcript is spliced from 3 exons.